This is a long non-coding RNA of Lonchura striata (white-rumped munia), 1182 nucleotides long. RefSeq lists it as uncharacterized. Lineage: Eukaryota; Metazoa; Chordata; Aves; Passeriformes; Estrildidae. The record is from RefSeq and is a predicted model, not a curated record.
CACAGACGUCCCUCUCUUUUUCCCAGCAUUUUAUUGGUGGCCGUUUCGUUUCCAUCUCCUCCUUCCACCCCCGCGAGAAAACACACCACCUCCCUCCUCCUCCCCCGCGGAAAAAGCAGCACUACCACUAGAGUGUAUCUCUGGAAAAAAGAGUGAGAGAUUGAAUGCACCUUUGAAAUCUGCUCCAAGGCGAAAGCCGCAUCGCAGUAGCUUGGUCGCUGCAGAUACUCCCGGUUUGCAUCGCGCAAGUGCACGGGUCUGCCUCGGCCCUGUGCUCCGCCCGCGCACCUGAUUCUGGCUAUGACAUAAGAUCACAGUCUCCGGUUCUGCGGGGCAGCCUGAGCCUCCCUUUCCUUUUCCACUCGAGUGCCGUGCUGGCCACCGGGCCGGCGGGGGUUGCCGUCGAAGGGCGGCGGCCGCAGCGGGGAGCCGCUCCGCGGGGCAGCGCCGCCGCUCAGCGCCCGCGCCCGGGGAAGGAGGCGGGCGGCUUCUCCCCCUCCUCAGCCCUGGAAGAAAGGGAACUGCUCGAGCCAACUUGUCAAAAUAAUGCGGCUAAUUACCCCUGAUCUCCUUUAAUGGAAAGCUGCUCUGCACGCCACAAAGGAGCAAAUGAGGGAUCUACAGCACCAACCCAGGAGCGCUGGCAUUUUCUUCUGCAGAGGGCUGCGGGGAAAUGUGCCUCCAGAGGAGUCUCCGAGGCUUUUGGGCUCCUCCCGCACAGCAGCGGACUCCCAGAGGAGGACAAGAGCACAAACACAGGGAGCUGCGUGCGGAAGACAGGGGAUGGAAGAACAGCCCGCUCUGUCCAAAACCACGAGGACAUCCCAGCCCUAGCAGUCCUUGCCAUAUUCUACAAGGGGCUUUACCUCUAUAAACCCAAGUAGUCUUGAAAUCAGAUUCUUUUCCUGGCAAAAUGCCCCGCCACUUGCGGGACAUUAAUGUGCAUUGAGAGGGGAAAGUUACGCUGAACCUUUUUUAGCCAGCCUGGACAACACCAGGUCUGUGUUAAGAUAGAGCUCAAGUUUUGCAUGUGCCAGAAGGCAGAGCAUUCACUUCCAUGAUCUUUGCCAUCGGGCCUUGAAGAAAAAAAAAAAGCUGAACGGCACAAUCUCUUUGACCCAUUGCUGGAGCAACAAAUUUAUUAGAGAUAUAGGCGUGAGAAAUUAAAAGGAAGUAAAACAA